Molecule: ribosomal RNA, 476 nt
Filed under: uncultured bacterium
Lineage: Bacteria
Description: bacterial SSU rRNA
Rfam family: Bacterial small subunit ribosomal RNA
Source: RNAcentral
UGCAAGUCGAGCGGGGACAUACGACGGAGUCAAAGUUUCGGAUGGAGACGAAGAUGUAUGUUCUAGCGGCGGACGGGUGAGUAACGCGUGAGCAACCUGUCCCUUACGGGGGGAUAACACAGCGAAACGUUGUACUAAUACCGCAUAAGACCACGGGAGGACAUCCUCCAGGGGUCAAAGGAGCGAAUCCGGUAAGGGGUGGGCUCGCGUCCGAUUAGAUAGUUGGUGAGGUAACGGCCCACCAAGUCAACGAUCGGUAGCCGACCUGAGAGGGUGAUCGGCCACAUUGGGACUGAGACACGGCCCAAACUCCUACGGGAGGCAGCAGUGGGGAAUAUUGGGCAAUGGGGGAAACCCUGACCCAGCAACGCCGCGUGAGGGAAGAAGGUUUUCGGAUCGUAAACCUCUGUCCUUGGUGAAGAGGAAGAGACGGUAGCCAAGGAGGAAGCCCCGGCUAACUACGUGCCAGCAGCGGC